GUAGAAGGCUACCUUUUAUACUAGUAGAAAAUAUGGGAAUUUCUAGGGUUUUCAAACGUUUACAGUUACUUACAAACAUGUUCAUUGGUACAAACUUUCCUUCAAACAUUUGUAGGUCUUUCUUUACAGUUUUACAAAUCAAAUUCACAUAAAUACUUAUGAAUUCACCAGCAUUAUUGCUGAUACUCGCUUUCAAAAUAACUUGUAUUCUCAGGUCACAAAUAAACAGGUACGACUGCCAGGUUUUGUGAAGACGGAGCGGUCAAGACUCAUCUUUUAUUUUGAAUAUUCAUUUUGUAGAAUUAUACUAUGAAAGAACUCACAUGUAACUAAAACUAUACUAUUAAUGCAAUGGAUGAUGUUGUUGCUUGUUUACUACCUUGCAUUGUUGUGAUACAUUACAUGACGUUCUUGGUUUUGGGGGUGUGACACACAUACACCAUUUGCUUGUUUACUACCUUGCAUUGUUGUGAUACAUUACAUGACGUUCUUGGUUUUGGGGGUGUGACACACAUACACCAUUAAAUCUAAGGGUCAUAAGGUUUCUUUCCGAUUCAUGAAAAUGAUGGUGAGGAAACACUUCCACCAAGUAGAUUUGAAGUAGAUAGCAAUUGUGAUAUUUGCAUUCUCAAAGUCGUUAGUGGAGCUGUGUGGUUAGCCGACACACUAACAUGGACUUGUGAGAAGUGGCAAAGGUCUAAACAAUUGAGACUAUGAUUACGGCAUCCCUUUUCAUAGUUCUAAAAUUGUUUAGACACACCUGUGAGCUAUCUAAAAGAGGUGUAUGAUUUUGAUAAAGUUUUAUCAAAACAAUCUAGUAUCAGAAAUCUGAACUUUGGUAAGAAAGUCAGCUAAUUUCUGAGUACAUGUCAAAGCUAGUGGGAGCAUAAGUGUUAUGCUAAUAAUCAUCAUGUUAGUGGGAGCAUGAUAAUUAUGAUAAGUAUUGCAAGUUAGCAAUGUUAAUUAUAGAAAACAAAAGGUUUCAAUUGGGAAAAAGUUGUUUUGCUAUAAUUAAGGGAGAGGAAAUUAUACUUCAUCUCAAAUCUAUAAGCUUAGAUCGUGAGGUUUUAAUCAUUUAGUCAAGGAUAUAUAUAUGAAUUUCAUGUUGGAAUGGCUCAACAUAAGGAAAUUCUGUAUAUGGGUCCAUUAUUUGCGUUCUAAAAUUCGAUUAUGAUUACGGCAUCCCUUUUCAUAAUCUGAAUUAUGAGAAC
RNAcentral lists this long non-coding RNA (1211 nucleotides) under Lactuca sativa (garden lettuce). RNAcentral's name for it is "long non-coding RNA (LSAT_LNC008621)". The record is from RNAcentral. Lineage: Eukaryota; Viridiplantae; Streptophyta; Magnoliopsida; Asterales; Asteraceae.